Molecule: ribosomal RNA, 480 nt
Filed under: uncultured bacterium
Lineage: Bacteria
Description: bacterial SSU rRNA
Rfam family: Bacterial small subunit ribosomal RNA
Source: RNAcentral
GAUGAACGCUGGCGGCGUGCCUAACACAUGCAAGUCGAGCGAGAACUUAUGUAAAGAAACUUCGGUAGAUUUACAAAAGGGAAAGCGGCGGACGGGUGAGUAACGCGUAGGCAACCUGCCCCAUACAGGGGGAUAGCCACCGGAAACGGUGAUUAAUACCCCAUAAAGCAUAGAUAACACAUGUUAAAGAUGUCAAAGAGAAUUCGGUAUGGGAUGGGCCUGCGUCUGAUUAGUUAGUUGGUGAGGUAACGGCUCACCAAGGCGACGAUCAGUAGCUGACCUGAGAGGGUAGGCGGCCACAUUGGAACUGAGACACGGUCCAGACUCCUACGGGAGGCAGCAGUGGGGAAUAUUGCACAAUGGGCGAAAGCCUGAUGCAGCAACGCCGUGUGAAUGAAGAAGGCCUUAGGGUCGUAAAAUUCAGUCCUAAGGGAAGAAAAAGAUGACGGUACCUUUUGAGGAAGCCACGGCUACUCGCUU